CUCCUACGGGAGGCAGCAGUGGGGAAUAUUGCACAAUGGGCGCAAGCCUGAUGCAGCGACGCCGCGUGAGGGAUGACGGCCUUCGGGUUGUAAACCUCUUUCAGUAGGGAAGAAGCGAAAGUGACGGUACCUGCAGAAGAAGCACCGGCUAACUACGUGCCAGCAGCCGCGGUAAUACGUAGGGUGCGAGCGUUAUCCGGAAUUAUUGGGCGUAAAGAGCUCGUAGGCGGUUUGUCGCGUCUGUCGUGAAAGUCCGGGGCUUAACCCCGGAUCUGCGGUGGGUACGGGCAGACUAGAGUGCAGUAGGGGAGACUGGAAUUCCUGGUGUAGCGGUGGAAUGCGCAGAUAUCAGGAGGAACACCGAUGGCGAAGGCAGGUCUCUGGGCUGUAACUGACGCUGAGGAGCGAAAGCAUGGGGAGCGAACAGGAUUAGAUACCCUGGUAGUCCAUGCCGUAAACGUUGGGCACUAGGUGUGGGGACCAUUCCACGGUUUCCGCGCCGCAGCUAACGCAUUAAGUGCCCCGCCUGGGGAGUACGGCCGCAAGGCUAAAACUCAAAGGAAUUGACGGGGGCCCGCACAAGCGGCGGAGCAUGCGGAUUAAUUCGAUGCAACGCGAAGAACCUUACCAAGGCUUGACAUGUUCUCGAUCGCCGUAGAGAUACGGUUUCCCCUUUGGGGCGGGUUCACAGGUGGUGCAUGGUUGUCGUCAGCUCGUGUCGUGAGAUGUUGGGUUAAGUCCCGCAACGAGCGCAACCCUCGUUCCAUGUUGCCAGCACGUCGUGGUGGGGACUCAUGGGAGACUGCCGGGGUCAACUCGGAGGAAGGUGAGGACGACGUCAAAUCAUCAUGCCCCUUAUGUCUUGGGCUUCACGCAUGCUACAAUGGCCGGUACAAUGGGUUGCGAUACUGUGAGGUGGAGCUAAUCCCAAAAAGCCGGUCUCAGUUCGGAUUGGGGUCUGCAACUCGACCCCAUGAAGUCGGAGUCGCUAGUAAUCGCAGAUCAGCAACGCUGCGGUGAAUACGUUCCCGGGCCUUGUACACACCGCCC
Molecule: ribosomal RNA, 1050 nt
Rfam family: Bacterial small subunit ribosomal RNA